GAUGAAGAACGUAGCGAAAUGCGAUAAGUAGUGUGAAUUGCAGAAUUCAGUGAAUCAUCGAAUCUUUGAACGCACAUUGCGCCCCUUGGUAUCCCGAGGGGCAUGCCUGUUCGAGCGUCAUUUCACCACUCAAGCCUGGCUUGGUGUUGGGCGACGUCCUCUUUGGGGACGCGCCUCGAAACGCUCGGCGGCGUGGCACCGUCUUUAAGCGUAGCAGAAUCUUUCGCUUUGGAAGUCGGGGCCCCGUCUGCCGGAAGACCUGCUCGCAAGGUUGACCUCGGAUCAGGCAGGGAUACCCGCUGAACUUAAGCAUAUCAAUAAGCGGAGGA
This 329-nucleotide unclassified non-coding RNA is filed under the name soil metagenome. Its description in RNAcentral is "partial contains 5.8S ribosomal RNA, internal transcribed spacer 2, and large subunit ribosomal RNA". The stretch from base 1 to 120 matches the Rfam family "5.8S ribosomal RNA", at positions 35 to 154 of the family's 154-position model. The record is from RNAcentral.